RNA transcript from Beta vulgaris subsp. vulgaris (sugar beet), 2831 nucleotides. It is a transcript of the gene named exonuclease 1, with no coding region annotated. The record is from RefSeq and is a predicted model, not a curated record. The transcript is spliced from 14 exons. NCBI's taxonomy places the organism in Eukaryota, Viridiplantae, Streptophyta, Magnoliopsida, Caryophyllales, Amaranthaceae.
AAAAUAUACAUUCCCCAACAAACUUCCCGCCAAUGCCAGAGUGAAUAUGGAGGAGUUUUUCAGGGGCGCACUCCUUAAAACCUUAUUCAUAUAAACCUAAAAACGCCUCAUUUUAAUCUAAUUUUUUCAGUCAUCUUGUACCUCUAAAAAGAUGGGUAUACAGGGUCUACUGCCACAACUAAAAUCAAUAAUGUCACCGAUUCACAUCAAAGAAUUAGAGGGAUGUUGCGUUGCCAUUGACACCUAUUCUUGGCUCCACAAAGGCGCCUUAUCUUGCAGUACCCAGCUUUGCAAGGGCAUUCCUACUUCUAGGCACAUUGACUAUUGCAUCCAUAGAGUAAAUUUGUUGCGUCAUUAUGGUGUCAAACCACUUCUCGUCUUUGAUGGAGAUAACCUACCAAUGAAGAGCGAGCAAGAGAAUAAACGUGCACGCUCUAGAAAGGAUAAUCUUGCACGUGCUAUUGAGCACGAGUCAAGUGGAAAUUCUAAGGCUGCAUAUGAAUGCUACCAAAAGGCUGUUGAUAUUUCUCCAGCAAUUGCUUAUGAAUUAAUACAGGUCUUGAAGCGAGAAGGUGUUAGCUAUGUAGUGGCCCCUUAUGAAGCAGAUGCACAAAUGGCAUUCUUGGCGAUUACUAAGCAGGUUGAUGCAGUAAUUACUGAGGACUCAGACCUCAUUGCAUUUGGUUGUCCAAGAAUUAUCUACAAGAUGGAUAAAUAUGGACAAGGUGUUGAAUUUCAGUUUAACAAGCUAGAACACAACAAGGAUCUAAAUUUGAUUGGAUUUACUAAUGAGAUGAUCCAAGAGAUGUGUAUCCUUAGUGGCUGUGACUACUUGCCAUCACUUCCUGGUAUGGGCCUGAAAAGAGCUCAUUCUCUUAUAAGCAAGUUCAAAAAAUUUGAAAAGGUGAUUAAACACUUGAAGUACAGCUCUGUGGAAGUUCCCCCUCUUUAUGAGGAGUCAUUCAAGAAGGCAGUGUGGACUUUCCGGCACCAAAGAGUUUACGAUCCAAACAAAGAGGAUAUUGUCAAUCUAACAAAUAUCUCAGACAAUAUUGAUGGGGAUACGGAUUUCUUAGGCCCAUCGAUGCCUCAACCGACAGUGAAAGCCAUAGCAAAAGGUGAGCUUGAUCCAAUCACUAAACUACCAUUCCAGGCUGAGACUACCAAUGGCAAUUCGACUUUCCAUACAUCGUAUCAACGUAAAGACUUUAGACCUGAAAGCAACAAGACAAAGCUAGAUUUGCCUGCUCAGAAGAAUAUUCUGACCAACUACUUCUGUUUUGCAUCACUAGAAGCAAAGAGGAAUUUCAGGCCCCCACGAGUGUCACCAAAAGAUCUGAAUUCAGGAAAUGACUCCUCCCCCACUUUGAUGAAACCAGAUGAUGGAUACUCUAAUGCUAGUAAAGCAAGUGAAUUAUCACUAGAAUCUGUGAUUGAUCAGGUGGUUCAGGGGGAUGACAAGUCUCCGCAUAAUUCAAUGGAGAUCGAAUUUUCUGAAAAAGAGAUCAAGAAUAGUGAUUCUCCAGUUAAUGGAAGUCUGGGGAAAAAUCCUUUGGAGCAAUCCCAUCGUUCCAUUCAUAAACCUUGCUUAGUUUUGCGUAGGGGCCAUGCUGAUGAGCAUUGUCCCAGGACAGUCUCAGAAAAGGGAAACCUGCAAGAUCAGCACACUACUGUAAAGAGUUCUUCUUUCCAGCAUAAUUUAGUAUGUGAAGUUGAUCCAAGUUAUAGAAAUGACAAAGUUACUUUGAGGAGUUCUUAUUUUGUGGAUAAACAAGAUGACAAUGAUACAUUGAGAACAAGUAAAAAGGUCGUCAUUAAGAGUUCUUACUUUAAGCAUAAGUCCAAACCCACUCAAAGUUGUAUAAAUGAAAGGUGCUUAAUCAAGGAUGAUUCUUCUAUUGAUGGUGAAAUGAGUGAAAAAGGUUCACCAGAAAUGGCUUUAGUUGGGAAUAACUUAGAUGAAGACUUGUAUGUGAAAAGAAAAGCUUCUUCUAGUCUUAAUCCCAAGGAACAUGUAAAAGAAAAGCAUGCUCGGACAGAGACAUGUGCGGAAGUGAAAAGUGAUGACAUUUCUGUUGAUGGCGAUAAAUGUACAAACUCUAUGGCAGAAGAAGAAAAGUUCGGCUGCAAAAUAUCCCAUUUGGGACAUUACUCUGAUAUAUCAGGGAAAUCGAUGGAAAAAUUCGUUUCAGCUGUGUCAUCAUAUAAAUUCACCUCAUCUGGUUCUCGUGCCAGUGGACUCCGUGCCCCGUUGAGGGAUGUAAAAAAUAUCGGUCUUAAUAGGUCACUCAUUGCCACUGACAUUGGAAAAUUCUCAUACGUGUCAAAGGGUGCAAAGGCCAAGGUUAAGAGAACGUCAUGUCAGAGACUCUGAAAUGUAAUAGUUUAUCAAUGAAUCAUUGGCUGGUUUCUGUACAUGAAAUUUGUUAUUUUCACAGCGGAGGCAGCAAUCAGUUUAAUCUGCAUCUGCUUGCACUGUGUACAUGGCUGCAACCACAACGUGAGCAACAUACCGUAGAAUCAGCUCUAAUUUGCAUAUUUGGGAGUUGAUGAGCCAGUUUUUUUUUUUUUUUUUCUGUACCGUAGCUUCCAUCAGCAUGUUAUUCUUUUGUGGUCAACGAACGAUAUAUCUCAAUCUGGGAGUAUACUGUUACUUCUGGCCAUUUCGAACUGUAUUUUUUUGGGUGUAUAUGGUCUGUCUGCAUCGUUGGUGCACCUCCAUUUUAAGUGUAUUCUUAUUACUUCAAAGAACUCAAAUGGCUUCACAGACCAGUCUCAAAUGGUUUGCAAUAUACUAGCAGCUUGUUUGAGACUUCGAGUCUUUGAGUGAA